UACAGAGGUCUCAAGCGUUGUUCGGAUUUAUUGGGCGUAAAGGGUGCGUAGGCGGCGCGGUAAGUCGGGUGUGAAAUCUCGGGGCUUAACUCCGAAACUGCAUUCGAUACUGCCGUGCUUGAGGACUGGAGAGGAGACUGGAAUUUACGGUGUAGCGGUGAAAUGCGUAGAUGUCGUAAGGAAGACCAGUGGCGAAGGCGGGUCUCUGGACAGUUCCUGACGCUGAGGCACGAAGGCCAGGGGAGCAAACGGG
This 253-nucleotide ribosomal RNA is filed under the name uncultured bacterium. RNAcentral's name for it is "partial 16S ribosomal RNA". It matches the Rfam family "Bacterial small subunit ribosomal RNA", at positions 524 to 776 of the family's 1533-position model. The record is from RNAcentral.